CAACUGUUAUUGGACCAUCCCAGUUGGUAGAGCAUGAGACUCUUAAUCCCAGGGUUGUGGGUUUGAGCCCCAUGUUGUUGU
This is a non-coding RNA of Podarcis lilfordi (Lilford's wall lizard), 81 nucleotides long. The record is from the annotation of a GenBank genome assembly. Lineage: Eukaryota; Metazoa; Chordata; Lepidosauria; Squamata; Lacertidae.